AUUGAACGCUGGCGGCAGGCCUAACACAUGCAAGUCGAGCGGAUGAAGGGAGCUUGCUCCUGGAUUCAGCGGCGGACGGGUGAGUAAUGCCUAGGAAUCUGCCUGGUAGUGGGGGAUAACGUCCGUAAACGGGCGCUAAUACCGCAUACGUCCUGAGGGAGAAAGUGGGGGAUCUUCGGACCUCACGCUAUCAGAUGAGCCUAGGUCGGAUUAGCUAGUUGGUGGGGUAAAGGCCUACCAAGGCGACGAUCCGUAACUGGUCUGAGAGGAUGAUCAGUCACACUGGAACUGAGACACGGUCCAGACUCCUACGGGAGGCAGCAGUAGGGAAUAUUGGGCAAUGGGCGAAAGCCUGAUCCAGCCAUGCCGCGUGUGUGAAGAAGGUCUUCGGAUUGUAAAGCACUUUAAGUUGGGAGGAAGGGCAGUAAGUUAAUACCUGGCUGUUUUGACGUUACCAACAGAAUAAGCACCGGCUAACUUCGUG
This 484-nucleotide ribosomal RNA is filed under the name uncultured bacterium. Its description in RNAcentral is "partial 16S ribosomal RNA". It matches the Rfam family "Bacterial small subunit ribosomal RNA", at positions 30 to 507 of the family's 1533-position model. The record is from RNAcentral.